CAGUAGCCGCGGUAAUACGUAGGGUGCAAGCGUUAAUCGGAAUUACUGGGCGUAAAGCGUGCGCAGGCGGUUUGUUAAGACAGAUGUGAAAUCCCCGGGCUCAACCUGGGAACUGCAUUUGUGACUGGCAAGCUAGAGUGUGGCAGAGGGGGGUGGAAUUCCGCGUGUAGCAGUGAAAUGCGUAGAGAUGUGGAGGAACACCGAUGGCGAAGGCAGCCCCCUGGGCCAAUACUGACGCUCAUGCACGAAAGCGUGGGGAGCAAACAGGAUUAGAUACCCGUGUAGUCCCUGUCUCUUAUAA
This 301-nucleotide ribosomal RNA is filed under the name uncultured bacterium. RNAcentral describes it as "partial 16S ribosomal RNA". It matches the Rfam family "Bacterial small subunit ribosomal RNA", at positions 509 to 809 of the family's 1533-position model. The record is from RNAcentral.